RNAcentral lists this ribosomal RNA (79 nucleotides) under Staphylococcus xylosus. RNAcentral's name for it is "partial 16S ribosomal RNA". It matches the Rfam family "Bacterial small subunit ribosomal RNA", at positions 1 to 79 of the family's 1533-position model. Lineage: Bacteria; Bacillati; Bacillota; Bacilli; Caryophanales; Staphylococcaceae. The record is from RNAcentral. RNAcentral also lists the same sequence under 2 other names.
UUUAUGGAGAGUUUGAUCCUGGCUCAGGAUGAACGCUGGCGGCGUGCCUAAUACAUGCAAGUCGAGCGAACAGAUAAGG